This 253-nucleotide ribosomal RNA is filed under the name uncultured bacterium. Its description in RNAcentral is "partial 16S ribosomal RNA". It matches the Rfam family "Bacterial small subunit ribosomal RNA", at positions 524 to 776 of the family's 1533-position model. The record is from RNAcentral.
UACAGAGGGGGCAAGCGUUGUUCGGAAUUACUGGGCGUAAAGGGCGCGUAGGCGGCCUUCUAAGUCGAACGUGAAAUCCCCGGGCUCAACCCGGGAACUGCGUCCGAUACUGGAAGGCUUGAAUCCGGGAGAGGGAUGUGGAAUUCCAGGUGUAGCGGUGAAAUGCGUAGAUAUCAGGAGGAACACCGGUGGCGAAGGCGGUUCUCUGGGCAUGUCCUGACGCUGAGGAGCGAAAGUGUGGGGAGCGAACAGG